UAACGCGUUAAGUAGACCGCCUGGGGAGUACGGUCGCAAGAUUAAAACUCAAAUGAAUUGACGGGGGCCCGCACAAGCGGUGGAGCAUGUGGUUUAAUUCGAUGCAACGCGAAGAACCUUACCUACUCUUGACAUCCAGAGAAUCUGGCGGAGACGCUGGAGUGCCUUCGGGAGCGCUGAGACAGGUGCUGCAUGGCUGUCGUCAGCUCGUGUUGUGAAA
This 220-nucleotide ribosomal RNA is filed under the name uncultured Vibrionaceae bacterium. RNAcentral describes it as "partial 16S ribosomal RNA". It matches the Rfam family "Bacterial small subunit ribosomal RNA", at positions 853 to 1072 of the family's 1533-position model. The record is from RNAcentral. Lineage: Bacteria; Pseudomonadati; Pseudomonadota; Gammaproteobacteria; Vibrionales; Vibrionaceae.